Non-coding RNA from Macrostomum lignano, 164 nucleotides. The record is from Rfam. Lineage: Eukaryota; Metazoa; Platyhelminthes; Macrostomidae.
AUACUUACCUGGCGCGGGGGAUACCGUGAUCAAGAAGGCGGUGCCUCCAGGACGAGGCCUGUACAUUGCACUCCGUAUGGGCUGACUCCUGCGACUACCCCAAAAUCGGGGUGGCUCGAGCGCAUAAUUUUUGGUAGUGGGGACAAGCGUUCGCGCUGUCCCUU